GUCCUUGAAGUUGAAUUUCUUUUUCCCAGCAAGGGUGCUAUAGAGGAUCACAUUCAAGUCUCCAAAAUCCCCAUAGAACUUAGGCAAGCCCCCCAACACCAUUCCCUGCUUUCAUUUUUUAGUACAUUCCCAGUGGAUUUUAUUCGAUGGCGUGCCUCCUCUUUCACUUUCCGUGCUCUCUGGAGCCUCCAGGACUUUUCCAUUCAUCGCACCAGCAAAAGCCAGCGCUGGUGGGAGCCUGGCAACGGAGUCCCUGGGGGCCUCCUGCGCAAGCGCAGACGACCUACUGAGCUCAAUCCUACUGAGCUCAAUCCGUUCCUCGGACUUUGCCCACCAAGGGCGGGGCCUCCCAGGCACCGCUGAGCACAGGGCCCGGCUGAGGGUCUCCCUGCGGGGUCUGCUGCACAGACGAGGUCAGCUGCUCUGCUCUUCCUCUGGGAUUAGAAAUCUGAGCCUCAGCCAAGUUACGAAAUUUGCCUAAAGCCACGCAGAAAAUGGCAGGACUGGAAAACCAGCCCAGGCAGCCAGACUCCACGAAUCUUAUUCCUCAAUAUGAAAACCCACUGCCAACAGCACCCCCAUGCGUAUGAUGGAUCUACUGUGGAUAUUUGUGGAGUUCACAGAGCUGCUCUCCCGUCUCACUCUCUCUUGCUCAUGCACUGACCCGGAAGCAGACAUACGGAGGGCAGAGUGCCAAAAAAAGCAUUGGGUCAGCCCCCACCUGAACCACCAGAGGAGAGAGCAGAGGCUGAAGAGAGAAGACAAUGGUGGGGAAAGACUUUGAUGCUACUUCUGGUGGAUUCUUGCUUUUAAACAGCUGUCCAGGUGUUGCAUGGGCAUGUUGU
Long non-coding RNA from Rhinolophus ferrumequinum (greater horseshoe bat), 845 nucleotides. RefSeq lists it as uncharacterized. NCBI's taxonomy places the organism in Eukaryota, Metazoa, Chordata, Mammalia, Chiroptera, Rhinolophidae. The record is from RefSeq and is a predicted model, not a curated record. The transcript has 4 exons.